UCUUGCAAAUGAUUUAUUCCAAAGAAAGCCUUUAUAUAUAGAGGAAAGAAAAUGGCAUGAGAUAUGAUACACACAAAAUCUAAAGUGAAAUGAUCACAAUACGAAUUCACAACCAUUGUAAUAUCCUGCAAGUAAGAUCUAAACAUCACAUGCCAACCAAAGUACACUUACAAGGUUUAGAAGUUGACAUACAGAUUAAAGACCAGAAAAACCAAAAUCUACUUCAUAACGGAUAAUAGGUUUGGUCAUAACCUGAUUAAGGAAUCAUUUUUUAUUAGACCCAUCCUAUUAUGAUCAUAAACUAUAUCAGGAGGUUCUAUAACUUGGACACUAUUAAGUCAAUUACAGCCAGGGCAUGGGGGAAAAAUGGACUGAUACUCUCAGCCAUUAUGUCAACUGUAAGGUGCUGAGCAACAACAACAACUAAGCCUUAAUUCAAACUGGUUGGGACGCAAACUAUGCUAUAUUCAUGUACAAAGACUUGUUGUUACCAGCGAAGACAAGCAGUUCAGGUCAAAUAAAACCACAUUUUAGAUUAAAGAACCCAGGGACAGAGAACACCGAAGCUCAGCAACCCAAGAAAUCAAUAAAAUAGAUAAACGAAUGGACAUAAAUGCAUAAGUAAAUGAAAAUGGAGAGUUUAUACACACUGUCAGGUCCACCCAGCUGGGUGACAGCAUCGACGAAUCUCUCAUGAAGCUCAGCAGUCCACCGGAGGCGGGGCUUCGGA
Molecule: unclassified non-coding RNA, 730 nt
Filed under: Hevea brasiliensis (rubber tree)
Lineage: Eukaryota; Viridiplantae; Streptophyta; Magnoliopsida; Malpighiales; Euphorbiaceae
Source: RNAcentral